GACGAGGGGGCAGAGGGGGAUGUGAUGCUGAGGAGGGCAGAGCAGCCAGCCUGGAGACCCCACCUGGACAGACAUGUUACAUAUGUGUUCGGGUUCCAUAGAGAGUGAAGACUCUUCAUCCUCAUACAUCUCGUUCCUGUGAAGGAGCAGCUGUGUGACAUGCAGAGUGAUGUCACCAGGAGAUCAGGUUUCAUGUGCCAAGAAACUGGGACCAGUUUGCGCAUCCCCGAAGGGAGGGCUAAAGUCUAAACCACAGGUGAUCCCCACCUUUUUUACCUACUGGACCAAUUGAAGCUAUUCAACUUAUCUAUUCGUUAGACCAAUGCCAAUUCACAUUUGUUUCAACUGGAACCAUAUAAUGCAUUGUAGACUGAAAUUGUGCAUCUUUUUUCUGGGAGAUUGGUGGUAGUUAACUGCUUUACUGCUUAGGGCUCUGCUGCCUGUGUUUUUUCAAACAGAAAGGAUCCUUGGUCGACCAAGCUAUUGCUUUUGCUUAAUCAUACAAUUCUUAAUAAAUAGUAGGGCUGGGACUUUAACGCGUUAAUUAAGAUUAAUUAAUUACACAAAAAUUAACACGUUAAAAAAAUUAACGCAUUUUAAUCGCAGUUAUUUUUGCACCGCAGAACGUUUCUCACUGGAUGAAUUUCAGGCGUACCGAUUAUACUGGAGUACAAUUAGUAAACGAGUUAAAAAGCCGCUGACACUGAUUACUGCCCAUGGAUCUAUAAAGUUUUAAUGUAGCCUGAAUGCAGCUCAAACUGACCCAGUGCCUCAGCAUUGCGACCAAGCUUUGAUAAACACACCGGAUGUGCGCCGGUUUACAGUAUCCUCCCGUAGGUUAGCCGGUCGCUACUGGAGCUUAAUUGAAAAAAAAAUAAAUUAAUUAAAAAGCGCUUGUCGCAGUGGAGCUGAGAAUAGCAGAGUUUCCUCCGCUGCAGUUGAACAGCUGACAUGUGGUCAAGACAGAGGUAGCCUACACCAACCUAUCACCGUCUCACGGUGCAAAACUUCAACCUCAGAGCUCUCUGUCUUCAGACUGUCCUGACCUGUCCCUGAACAUCACACAGGGAAAACAUAGAGCUGCCUGUGUUUUAUUAAUAUUUACAUCAGGCUGAGUUCAACAAAUCAGUUUAAUCGGUUAAAAGUAAACUAACAAACUAGUGUAGAGUCCUGGAUAAGUAAUGUUCAGCUUAAAUUUUCCCCUUAAAUUUAGGUUCUCAGGAAAAUCGCAUCUCAUCAGGUAAUCGUUAAUCGAUCGAUAAGGUCCAUCAACUAACGUUUAAUGAAUUAAUCGAUAAUUUGCAUCCCUAGUCUGUUGGUCUUGGUUAAGUAACACCUUGAAAAAAAAAUAAACAAUGUUUUGUUGCUUAAGCUUAGGUAUUCAGUCAUUAUUCAAUGGUAUACUAAAACCCAUAUGAAAAAAACUGCUUCUCACUGUUCUCAGGUAAAAUAUUUAUAUGCGAUUAAAAAUGCGAUUAAUUUUGAUUAAUUAAUUACAAAGCCUCUAAUUAAUUAGAUUAAUUUUUUUAAUCGAGUCCCGGCCCUAAUAAAUAGUUGACCGAACAUCGUAGUCCGUCUUGUCUUAUAGUCUGUUUAUUCUCAAAUCUAAAACAAACUAACACACCUGACACUUGUCUGUGUCCUGAGAAAGCAGACAUGUUGAUUUUUCUGAAGAAAAGCUGCCAAGUGAAAAGGUCCUCAGUAUGUAGCAGUGAGAAAUAGACGCUGACUUGUCACUUGUUUGCAAGUGUUCUUUUGCACUGGAAAUUAUUUGUUCAUAUUUUAUGUAAGAAAACUUCUCUGAGUGGAAAAAUACCAAAGCUGAAGAGUAAACUCAAGAUUUGUGCUGUAAUGUGUUAUGUAAUUUUCUUUUUGUUAGAAUUGAUAUUAUAAAAUUGGUAUUGAAAAAAGUAGCAUUCAGGAACCGGUAUGGAAGUGAAAGUAUCAUAUUGGUACCAGUAUCAAAAUGUUUGAUUGAUGCCCAGCCCUAUCCACAACAGAGGAAAAGUGUCUGUCUUCCUGUCUCUUCAUCACAUUUCUGACCAAAAUGUUCAGUGUGAACAAACAAAGGCGGCGUGAGAGUGAGCCUUCUUUGCAGCAAUAAUGUGAAGUCUCUGUGUGAAAAGGGCU
Long non-coding RNA from Acanthopagrus latus (yellowfin seabream), 2130 nucleotides. RefSeq lists it as uncharacterized. The record is from RefSeq and is a predicted model, not a curated record. Lineage: Eukaryota; Metazoa; Chordata; Actinopteri; Spariformes; Sparidae. The transcript has 3 exons.